UUGCACGCUGGCGGCAGGCCUAACACAUGCCAGUCGAGCGGAUGAAGGGAGCUUGCUCCUUGAUUCAGCGGCGGACGGGUGAGUAAUGCCUAGGAAUCUGCCUGGUAGUGGGGGAUAACGUCCGGAAACGGGCGCUAAUACCGCAUACGUCCUGAGGGAGAAAGUGGGGGAUCUUCGGACCUCACGCUAUCAGAUGAGCCUAGGUCGGAUUAGCUAGUUGGUGGGGUAAAGGCCUACCAAGGCGACGAUCCGUAACUGGUCUGAGAGGAUGAUCAGUCACACUGGAACUGAGACACGGUCCAGACUCCUACGGGAGGCAGCAGUGGGGAAUAUUGGACAAUGGGCGAAAGCCUGAUCCAGCCAUGCCGCGUGUGUGAAGAAGGUCUUCGGAUUGUAAAGCACUUUAAGUUGGGAGGAAGGGCAGUAAGUUAAUACCUUGCUGUUUUGACGUUACCAACAGAAUAAGCACCGGCUAACUUCGUG
RNAcentral lists this ribosomal RNA (483 nucleotides) under uncultured bacterium. Its description in RNAcentral is "partial 16S ribosomal RNA". It matches the Rfam family "Bacterial small subunit ribosomal RNA", at positions 30 to 507 of the family's 1533-position model. The record is from RNAcentral.